GGCGACAUAGCCAAGUGGUAAGGCAGGGGUCUGCAAAAUCCUUAUCCCCGGUUCGAAUCCGGGUGUCGCCUCCA
RNAcentral lists this transfer RNA (74 nucleotides) under bacterium. RNAcentral's name for it is "tRNA-Cys". It matches the Rfam family "tRNA". Rfam says of the family: Transfer RNA (tRNA) molecules are approximately 80 nucleotides in length. RNAcentral also lists the same sequence under 4 other names. The record is from RNAcentral.